UCUCUGUAGCUCAGUUGGUUAGAGCGCUGCACCGGAAUCGCAGGGCCGUAGGUUCAAUUCCUAUGUAUAUAU
RNAcentral lists this transfer RNA (72 nucleotides) under Paramuricea clavata. RNAcentral describes it as "tRNA-Ser". The stretch from base 7 to 64 matches the Rfam family "tRNA", at positions 8 to 63 of the family's 71-position model. From Rfam's summary of the family: Transfer RNA (tRNA) molecules are approximately 80 nucleotides in length. Their secondary structure includes four short double-helical elements and three loops (D, anti-codon, and T loops). Further hydrogen bonds mediate the characteristic L-shaped molecular structure. tRNAs have two regions of fundamental functional importance: the anti-codon, which is responsible for specific mRNA codon recognition, and the 3' end, to which the tRNAs corresponding amino acid is attached (by aminoacyl-tRNA synthetases). tRNAs cope with the degeneracy of the genetic code in two manners: having more than one tRNA (with a specific anti-codon) for a particular amino acid; and 'wobble' base-pairing, i.e. permitting non-standard base-pairing at the 3rd anti-codon position. The record is from RNAcentral. Lineage: Eukaryota; Metazoa; Cnidaria; Anthozoa; Malacalcyonacea; Plexauridae.